GUCUGCGUAGCUCAGUAGGAUAGAGCACAGGAUUCCUAAAGAAAUUGGGCGCCUUAAGGAGAAAUCCUCAAAGUGGAUCUGCUCAAAUUCGGGGAAAGCUUCAUAGGAGACGAAAACUAUAUGCCAAUCCCGAGCCAAACCUCUCUUGAAAGAGGAGGAAGGUGUAGAGACUGAACGGGCAGCACCUAAAGAGCAUACGCUUUACGGUGAAGAGACAGUCCAGACCACAAACAGCUUAUAAAGCUGGCGGUGAAAAUCGAAGUGGUAUGAAUCCUGGGGCCGCAGGUUCGAAUCCUGCCGUAGACACCA
Molecule: transfer RNA, 309 nt
Filed under: Bartonella henselae
Lineage: Bacteria; Pseudomonadati; Pseudomonadota; Alphaproteobacteria; Hyphomicrobiales; Bartonellaceae
Also listed under: 1 other name
Description: tRNA-Und (NNN) (tRNA-Und-NNN-1-1)
Rfam family: Group I catalytic intron (bases 25-234)
About the family: Group I catalytic introns are large self-splicing ribozymes. They catalyse their own excision from mRNA, tRNA and rRNA precursors in a wide range of organisms. The core secondary structure consists of 9 paired regions (P1-P9).
Source: RNAcentral